AUUGAACGCUAGCGGGAUGCCUUACACAUGCAAGUCGAACGGAGUGGCCAACGGGUGAGUAAUGUAUCGGAACGUGCCCAGUAGCGGGGGAUAACUACGCGAAAGCGAAGCUAAUACCUCCUACUAUUGGAGCGGCCGAUACCGGUUUAGCGAGUUGGUGGGGUAACGGAUCACCAAGGCGACGAACCGUAGCUGGUUUGAGAGGACGACCAGCAACACUGGGACUGAGACACGGCCCAGACUCCUACGGGAGGCAGCAGUGGGGAAUAUUGGACAAUGGGUGAAACCCUGAUCCAGCCAUCCCGCGUGUGCGAAGAAGGCCUUCGGGUUGUAAAGCACUUUUGGCAGGAAAGCGGUACCUGCAGAAUAAGCACCGGCUAACUCCGUGCCAGCAGCCGCGGUAAUAC
RNAcentral lists this ribosomal RNA (407 nucleotides) under uncultured bacterium. Its description in RNAcentral is "partial 16S ribosomal RNA". It matches the Rfam family "Bacterial small subunit ribosomal RNA", at positions 30 to 526 of the family's 1533-position model. The record is from RNAcentral.